Molecule: small nucleolar RNA, 92 nt
Filed under: Capra hircus (goat)
Lineage: Eukaryota; Metazoa; Chordata; Mammalia; Artiodactyla; Bovidae
Description: Small nucleolar RNA SNORA11 (ENSCHIG00000003388.1)
Rfam family: Small nucleolar RNA SNORA11
About the family: U107 (SNORA11) is a member of the H/ACA class of snoRNAs that guide the sites of modification of uridines to pseudouridines.
Source: RNAcentral
AGCUGCUUAUAACACACCCAAAAGGAAUCUGGGUUCACUGUGACAAGGGGCAUAAAACUUGUGGCCUUCCUAUGACCAAAUACUCUCUACAU